Molecule: non-coding RNA, 4404 nt
Organism: Benincasa hispida (wax gourd)
Lineage: Eukaryota; Viridiplantae; Streptophyta; Magnoliopsida; Cucurbitales; Cucurbitaceae
Source: RefSeq, a predicted model, not a curated record
UAGGUGUUUUACGUAUAAGUGGUUUACUUGCCCUGUCUUCUUCCCUUUCUCAAUUCCAUCAUAUUUCUGUUCACCAUUUUCGCAGCUCCAAAUGAUAAGAUGGCAAAGCAGUCGAGUUCUCUUUUCCUCGAGGAAUGGUUGAAGAGCAUCGGCGGCACUGCUCUUAACUCCAAACUCACUUCCUCUUCUGCUCGAGAAAUUAUCCAAGCAUGGGCUGAGCUUAGAAGCUCUUUGGAACAUCAAUCCUUUGAUGAUCGCCACAUUCAAUCGCUCAAAAUUCUCGUUAACUCUCAGUCCUCACUCUAUGUUGCAGACCCUCAAGCUAAGUUGGUGAUUUCUAUACUUUCUUCUCCCAAUUUCUCUAUUCCUGAUGAAUCCUAUCCCCUUUUUCUGAGGAUCCUUUAUAUCUGGGUCAGAAAAUCUCUCCGACCCUCUUUAGUUCUUGUCGAUUCAUCUGUUGAGGUUCUCUCUCAUAUUUUUUCUUCCAAAAUUGAAUUGCGGAAGAACCCUUUGUUUUUCUCUGAAGGGGUUUUAGUUUUGGGUGCAAUUUCGUAUCUGCUUUCAGCUUCAGAAAAAUCAAAAUUAUGCUGUUUGGAGUUGCUUUGCAGGGUUUUGGAAGAAGAAUACCUACUGGUUGGAUCAGUGGGAGAGAUAAUUCCAGAAUUUCUUGCUGGGAUUGGUUAUGCUUUAUCUUCAUCAGUGAAUGCUCAUGUUGUUAGAUUGUUAGAUUCUUUGUUAGGAAUUUGGGGUAAUAUAGGUGGCCCUAUUGAUACUCUUUCUAGUGGGUUAAUGAUUCUGCAUAUGAUUGAAUGGGUGACCUCUGGUAUGAUUAGUCUUCAUUCUUUUGAGAAAUUAGAUGUGUUUAGCCAAGCUAUUUUAGUGUCUUCAAAGGAAAGUUAUGCUUCAUUUGCUGUUGUAAUGGCUGCAGCUGGAAUAUUGAGGGCUUUUAAUACUCAAAAAGGCUUGUUGAGUAGUUCAGAAAGAGAAACAAUAUCUAGAAUAAGGAUUUCAGCCCAAGAUUGUUUAGAAUCUAUAGCAAGGAAUUUUAUUUCUACUAUGGAAGGAUCUUCAAUUACAGGCAAUGACCAUAGAAGGAGCGUGCUUCUAUUGUGUAUUUCGUUGGCAAUAGCACGUUGUGGUCCUGUGUCAUCUUGCCCGCCUGUGCUCAUUUGUGUUGUUUAUGCUUUGUUGACUGAAAUAUUUCCUUUGCAGCGUUUAUAUGCCAAAAUUAAUGAAUUCUCUUUUGCCGAGUUGGGUGCGUUGGGGCUUACUCUAGUGAACGAGCAUCUGGGUAGUAUUCCUUUUAAGGAAGCCGGGGCCAUCACUGGUGUUUUUUGCAGUCAGUAUGCUACACUUGAGGAAGAGGACAAAAGUUUUGUUGAGAAUCUUGUAUGGGAUUACUGUCAAGACGUCUACUCAAGGCAUAGACUAGCCGGUUUGGUGCUUCGUGGCAGAGAGGAUGAAUUAUUAGAGAAUAUAGAGAAAAUUGCAGAGUCUGCUUUCCUCAUGGUUGUAGUUUUCGCAUUAGCCGUCACAAAAGAAAAGUUAGAUUCCAAAUAUACGCUGGAAAGUCAGUUUGACAUAUCAGUAAGAAUACUUGUUUCAUUCUCUUGUAUGGAAUACUUUCGGCGUAUUCGCUUGCCAGAAUAUAUGGAUACUAUCCGAGGGGUUGUUGCAAGCAUUCAGGGGAAUGAGUCUGCUUGUGUAUCUUUCAUUGAAUCAAUGCCUACGUACCAAGAUCAAACAAAUGGGCCUGAUAACUCUAUUGGGCGGAUAACAAAAUAUUCAUGGACCAAGGACGAAGUGCAAACUGCACGUAUGUUGUUUUAUGUACGAGUCAUUCCAACUUGCAUUGAGCGUGUUCCUACCCAAGUGUAUGGGAAGGUGGUAGCCCCAACAAUGUUUUUAUAUAUGGGGCAUCCAAAUGCAAAAGUAGCCCGAGCUUCGCACUCCGUGUUUAUAGCUUUCAUGUCUGGGAAGGAUGACCUUGGCGAUGAAAAGAGAGUGACGUUGAAGGAGGAGCUUGUUUUCUACUACAUUGAGAGAUCUUUAUCAGGGUAUCCUGGCAUUACACCAUUUGAAGGCAUGGCUUCAGGAGUUGCAGCUUUGGUACGAUAUCUUCCUGCAGGGAGUCCAGCAAUCUUUUAUUGUAUUGACAGUCUUACUGUAAAAGCUACCAGCCUUUGCAGUGAAAACUUCAUGGAUGACGCGGAUUUGUGGAAGACUUGGCAAGGAGACUUGGAGCCUUCCAAGAAAAUUUUAGAUAUGCUUUUACGGCUCGUUUCUCUUGUUGAUAUACAGGUCCUACCAAGCUUGAUGAAGAAUUUAGCACAACUAAUCAUCGAGUUACCCACAGAAGGCCAAAAUAUGGUUCUUGAUCAGUUAUACUCCCUGGUUUCAGAAGCCGAUGAUGUCACCCGUAAACCCAUGUUAGUUUCAUGGCUACAGUCGUUGUCUUAUCUUUGUUCCCAAUCUAAGAGCACAGAUGCACGUUCCAUUGAGAAGCAAAGUACACGGCUUACAAAUUUUGCAUGGAUUGUUGAUCCAUUGAACCGUAUUCGAUCCUAUGCACGACUUUGAGGACUUGAGCUCGGGGAAGACGAUUGGCACUGCCUAGCACAAUAGGGAUUCUAUGUCCUUAACUCUUUCUCUAGGAACUGUUAUAGGACUAGUUUGUUGUCUUCUUAUUUUUCAACUUUAGAAAAAGAUUGUAUGUUGUGGCAUUUUCGCCUUGGUCAUCCAAAUUUCAAAUAUAUGAAAUAUUUAUUUUCUCAUUUAUUCAAUAAAGUUGAUGUCUCUUCUCUAUCUUGUAAUGUGUGCAUUCGUGCAAAAAAAGCAUAAGGUCACCUUUCCGUCUCAACCUUACAAAACUUCUCAGCCCUUCACCCUUAUUUAUAGUGAUGUUUGGGGUCCCUCGAGUAUUACCACCUCUUCGAGGAAAUGGUGGUUUGUGACUUUUAUUGAUGAUCAUACCCGUCUUACAUGGGUUUUUCUCUUCACUGAUAAAUCUGAGGUUUGUCGGUAUUUCAACAAUUUUAUACUACUCUUGAGACUCAGUUCAACACAAAAAUUGAUGUUCUUUGUAGUAAUAAUGGUCGUGAGUUCCUUAAUAAUACUUUUUGUGAUUUUUUGUCUUCUAAAGGUAUUGUCCACCAAAGCUCGUGUGCCUAUACACCUCAACAGAAUGAGGUGGCUGAAAGGAAAAAUCGUCACCUUCUUGAGGUUGCACAGUCUCUUAUGUUGUCUACUUCACUUCUAUCUUACUCAUGGAGGGAUGCAGUUCUGACUGUAGCUCAUCUUAUUAAUCGAAUGUCUUCCCGUGUCCUCCAACUCCAAACCCCUCUUGAAUGCCUCAAGGAGUCAUACCCUACCACGCGGCUUAUUCCCGAUAUUCCUCUUUGAGUUUUUGGGUGCACUACCUUUGUCCAUAGUCAUGACCUUAAUCAAACUAAGUUUACUUCUCAUGCUUAGAAAUGUGUCUUCAUUGGGUAUCCCCUUCACCAGCGAGGUUAUAAAUAUUUUCACCUUUCUUCCUAGAAAUACUUCAUCUCAAUGGAUGUAACGUUCCUUGAGGAUAAACCUUUUUUUCCCGUUAGUUAUCUUCAGAGGGAGAGUACUAGUGAAGAGACUAACUGGUCCACAUCUUCAGUCCCUACUGACCUUUCUGAACUCCUUCCUAAAUCCAUCCUGAGUGCCCAUGACACUGUUCUACCCACUAAACAAGUCCCUUGGAUAACCUACUACAAGAAGAAUUUUAGAAAGGAAAUGGUGUCCCCUACUACUUCACCGACGCCAGUCCAUGAAUCUGAACCAACACAAGCUCAAGGUGUUGUCACCUGAACUUACUUGCGGCGAGCACAACAUAUUUUAAUCAAGCUUACUGUCCCAAGUUUAUCUGAGAAUUGCACCCAUUUUGGUCAGUCUGCAAAGCGAAAAUGAAAGAAGCUUUGAAACAUCCCUAGUCUUAGUCUUUGUCUUUCAGUAGAGUUUUCCCCAUUCUUUUAGUUACCUUAAAAGAGAACUGUUUACAAAACAAGCUGCACGAAAGAGGCCAAGCCAUAACAUAUGAGACGACUCAACUUUAACAUAGUUACUUUUAUGAUAUAGUUGACCCCUACAGGUAUUUAUACAAGUUAUCAGUGUAAGAACGAUGCAUUAUUCCUUUUCGUAUCGGGACGUUACAACUGAUUUUUUAUUCCAUUAUAUUCACAAAUCUCCAUCAACUAGAAUGGAAAGGCUGUGAUCAAUAAAUGUUAUGAUGUAUUUGUUUAUGUUAAUCUACUUAGGAAAUAUCCGUUAGCAAUAUAUUGAACUUUUUCUGGGUCACUUUACCAAUGUAGUGUAUCUUGUAUGUAUACAUUGACAAAUGUAUUGUAUGUAUUAGCCAUUUCCUUGCAUGUUUCA